RNAcentral lists this ribosomal RNA (274 nucleotides) under uncultured bacterium. Its description in RNAcentral is "partial 16S ribosomal RNA". It matches the Rfam family "Bacterial small subunit ribosomal RNA", at positions 523 to 796 of the family's 1533-position model. The record is from RNAcentral.
AUACGGAGGGUGCAAGCGUUAUUCGGAAUCACUGGGCGUAAAGGACACGUAGGCGGGAAGCCAAGUCUGAUGUGAAAUCCUACAGCUUAACUGUAGAACUGCAUUGGAAACUGGUUACCUAGAGUAUGGGAGGGGGAGAUGGAAUUAGUGGUGUAGGGGUAAAAUCCGUAGAUAUCACUAGGAAUACCUAAAGCGAAGGCGAUCUCCUGGAACAAUACUGACGCUAAGGCGUGAAAGCGUGGGGAGCAAACGGGAUUAGAAACCCUAGUAGUCC